GUGCCAGCAGCCGCGGUAGUACAGAGGUCCCAAGCGUUGUUCGGAUUCACUGGGCGUAAAGGGUGCGUAGGCGGCCGGGAAAGUUUGAUGUGAAAUCUCCGAGCUCAGCUCGGAAAUUGCAUUGAAUACUCCCCGGCUAGAGGAUUGGAGGGGAGACUGGAAUUCUCGGUGUAGCAGUGAAAUGCGUAGAUAUCGAGAGGAACACCAGUGGCGAAGGCGAGUCUCUGGACAAUUCCUGACGCUGAGGCACGAAAGCCAGGGGAGCAAACGGGAUUAGAUACCCGAGUAGUCC
This 292-nucleotide ribosomal RNA is filed under the name uncultured bacterium. Its description in RNAcentral is "partial 16S ribosomal RNA". It matches the Rfam family "Bacterial small subunit ribosomal RNA", at positions 505 to 796 of the family's 1533-position model. The record is from RNAcentral.